GAACGUAUGGCUUAGUUGGUCAGAGGGUUUGGACGGGUUCCAAGAGGCGCGGGUUCAAAACCCGCUACUUUAU
Molecule: transfer RNA, 73 nt
Filed under: Heliconius melpomene (postman butterfly)
Lineage: Eukaryota; Metazoa; Arthropoda; Insecta; Lepidoptera; Nymphalidae
Description: tRNA HMEL004498
Rfam family: tRNA
About the family: Transfer RNA (tRNA) molecules are approximately 80 nucleotides in length. Their secondary structure includes four short double-helical elements and three loops (D, anti-codon, and T loops).
Source: RNAcentral